Apis cerana (Asiatic honeybee) is the source of this 4644-nucleotide long non-coding RNA. RefSeq lists it as uncharacterized. Lineage: Eukaryota; Metazoa; Arthropoda; Insecta; Hymenoptera; Apidae. The record is from RefSeq and is a predicted model, not a curated record.
CUCUUUACACGCGAUCCUCUCCGCCAGAUAACGUGGCGAUCCUCGUUGCGUACGGAAACGGAAGCUUUCCUUGCUUCGUGUGCCAUGCAUUCGAUCCGCGAGUCAUGGAGGGAAUUGUCUGAGUGAAGUUCCUGUGAGAAUUAAUCGGAAAAGGAGGAUCUAAUUAAUAAGUUAAAAGGGAAGGGUCGAGAAAUAAUAGAUGGACGGUCUGUGGGAACGAGUGAGAAAGUUGAUGAUGUUGUUUCGAGUUGUUGAAAUUGAGAUUGAGAUCUAAAGUUUCGAUUUUUUUGUAUUUUCUCGACAUUAAGAUAACCCGAUCGUCGAUAGAUUAUUUUUUUAGGAUCCCGCGUUAAAUAUCGGAUUAUUUUGCGAGGCAUACAAAAAUUGUUUUGCAAAUGAAUCAAUGACGUUUUCGAGAAAUAGAAUAGUGGAAGUUCCAAGAAGAUCCAAUAGAAAUUAGAAAAGAUCUACUACUCUGUAACAAAGGAACAAUCGGAAUAUUUCUGCAAAAAAAUCUUCGACACGAUUUCCUUUUCAUUGUUUAAACAAAAUAAGAUUACAAGGGUAAAAGUGAAUGGUAGGCGAGGGAUGAAUAUGGAGCUUUUUUUUUUCUUUCUUUUACCGAGUCGUAGGUUUUAUCCAGUGUUCACAAAGGAGUUUUUGCGCGACUCCACGUGGUCCGUACAAGGACACGGGCCGGAAAGGAAUCAAGAUUCGUGGGAUCUUGAGAAUCGAGAACCGGAAUGAUCUUACCCCCUCUCGUUAGAUUUGCGAGUCUGGUCCAAUGGUUCCACGAGGUUGGGCCUCGAGCGACCAGUUUUCGAGCAACUCGCGUUCGGUAAACCUGUUCCCUCUUAAUCGUCGUGAAAAUAAAGAAUACACAACUUUUUCAUCGAGUGUGAAACAUUUUUGUAACGUAUAUAAAAUUGUUCGAGAGAAUUUUAUAUAAUAAUACGUGAAGUAGAAGAAAAAAAAAAGAAAAGGAAAAGAAGAAGGAAAAGAUGGCCGCUGUCGCGUCGAUGGCCAUGUUACGGGGAUCUGGAGCAUUGGGGCACUUCGUCAUCUCCACCCCUGUUUGUAGGGCGCAGGGCUGUGGAGGGUGGUCAGACGCUUCAAGAAGUUUGUGUCCUUAAGUAGAGAACAUUUCGAACGUGGUGUUUCGUUUUACGCGCGACAAAAAUAUUGUAUUUCAAAUCUAAUCAACAUAAUACGAUUACAAUUUAGAGGUAAAAUAGAAAAAUAUCGAGGCAUAAUCGUAAAUAUUCUUAUUCGAUAUUAAAAUUUGUUUUAUCAACGAUGAAAACAAACGAUUCGUGUAUGGAAAACGAACACUUGGUAUCCUUAAAUAGAGAAUAUUUCAAUACGAUACAAUAUGAUUUCAUUUCGCACAAAAAUAUCGUAUUUAAAAAAAAAAAAACAUCCAUUACGAUAUUAUCACCAUUGCAAUUUAUAAAACGGAAAAAUAAGGAAAACCAGAACGAGAAUAUCCACGAAAGAUUAUUCCUCAUAUUAAAAUUCGAGAUCAAUUCCUUCCGUUUCGUAUUUCAUUUAUUAACGAGCAACGAAAGAGAGAGAGAAAGAAAGAAAGAAAAAAAAAUAAUCGCGAUUGAAUCGUUCGACUAAUAUUUUUGUUAUACUCGCGUUGUGUGGAUGGAAAACGCAGGGUCGCGUAAAAAACAACGUCGAUAUUAAACACGCGAGUUGCGCGGGGUGAAACGAGUCUACCUGGUUAGCCGGGCUUUCAUCCCUCGCGAUAUAGGGAGCACGUCUCGAGAGAAAGAAGGGGAGGAAAGGAAAGGAAGGAGAGGGAGGGAAAAGAGAGAAAGCAGAGCCGCGUAUGGAUUUGCUUGGGACCGUUUCAAGGGUGAGGUUAGACCAGGGCGGUUUGAAAAUGAUGAAAAAGCUUCUUGCGUCACUGUCAGCCUCUGUCACCCAUCCCCUCUCGCCCUCUCCUUUUCUCGUCACCUACAGAAGAACUUGCACCCUCGCCCCUAUCCAUCUUAAUAUUAUUAUUUCAUUCCGCGAGCCCGUUUUUUAGAUCCCUCUCUCUUUCUCUUUAUCUCAUCUUCUUUCUCUCCUCCCCCUCUCUCUUUUUCCCGAUCUAAUCGUACGAGUACGAGUUCGACCUCCUCGUUCCCUUCACGGUGAAAACCACCUACCGCCCUUACCCAGCCCUGGAACCAAUCCACCCCCGUCAGGGGACACCCUCCACCUUCCGGAGCACCAUCACUUACGGAUCAAUAGGGUAUGGAAGAUAAACGCACCUAGAGGGGAUCCAGAGGGGCUGUCGGUCGAAAGGAAGAGGGGAAAAAAAAAAAAGAAAAAAAAAGGAAAAAGAAAAAAAGAAAAAGAGGAAACGUAAAUGGUAUCUAUAAGUACUGUGACUCCCUCUGUCAACAAGCUGUGAGAUUGUCGAUGCGGUUUAACCGUGGUUACAGUUGCUGUUGUUGUUUAACGUUGUCGUGUUUGAUUUGAUUUGUCGCUGGUGGAAAAAUUUAAUGACACAAGUUUUAAGAGAGAAACGUAAACAUGUGAAGCGUAGUUGAGGACUUUGUUGAAUUUACUCGAUCAGAGAAGAUGCAUUGAUGAUGAUGUGCAGUAAGAUAAUAGUUAAAUUUUGAUCUAUCCGAAAAUCGUAAUCUUAUACGUUCUAUUAUUAAAUAAUAAUAUUUCAAUACUGUUUGUUGCAAACAAUAAUAAUAAUUCUUCGAUACUAUCCCAUAAAAGUUUUAUAGAUCUUUUAUCGUUUCUCAUUGUUUUAACAUUUUUCGCGUGAUAUAUAUUUUUAAAAAUUGGCAGAUAUUUCAUUUUCACCUCUCUCGCAAUCUUGCUCGUGAAUAUUCAGGAGAUUGCACCGGGUCCUCGCAUCCUUGUUAAAAAGUAUCGUUGUACCUCGUGGUCUGGAACGUGGAGGAAGAGAGGACCAAUCUUCGUAUCAAGAUGAGCCCUCCUCGAAAAUAUAUAUUUGGGGGCGAAUCCCGUCACGUUAUCGCGAAUAUCUCGCACAGAAAUAGGGGGAGGGAACGGGGGAUACCUUAUUCAACGUCAUUUCUUUUAUCGAUGAACGAGAUGAAGGCCGAGUUCUCUCCUCGGAAAGAAGGAAAUCGUUAGGAGAGCGACAUGCAAAUUCGUUCGAAAGUUUCGCCCACCUCUGCGCCUCUAGCACCCUCUGGGCAAGAAAAAGCGGGGCAAGGGUAGGCAGAACCCUCGAAGAAGACGAAGAAGAGCGGGCGGCGAAGAGGAGUACGAUAAAGAAGAGAAGGUGGCCGAGAAUGUUUUCUGUUCCUGGCUGCUGGCGAUUUAUGCGCUCGAAAUCGCAUCUCCCCUAAAAUGAAACGACGAAUAGAAAGGGCAACAACGCAAGAAGGAAACCUGUGGGUGAUCUGUACGUGAGACCUUCUUCUCGCAUAAUAUCUUUUUCUCGCCUUUAAAAAGAUUAGAGACAAUUUUUCUCUAGGAAAAUUUUUCUCUUGAAUGUCUUUUUUUUCUUUCCUUUCUUCGAUAUUCAAAAGAAAUUCCUGUAAUAAAAAUUGAAGGAUCUUUAUUUUUUUUCUCUAUCAAAUUGAAUUUUUUCUCUCGAGUAUCUUUCCUUUCGAUAUUUGCGAUAUAAGCAAAAAAAUUAGCCGUCUUAUUUCAAAGAGAAAAUUCUAAAUUCCUUCGAAGUUUUUUUAACGUGCUAAAAAUGAUAUUGCGAGUGCUCGAUUCGAUGGACGUAAGGUAUUUUCGUAUAAUUCCAAUAUGUAUAUAUAUCCAGGAGUCUGGGAUAUGAUUGGAAUCUCAAAGUCGGCUCAAAGCUUACUCCGUCGAAUGUUCAGUUCCGCAUCGGCGGGAAGAUCAAAGAAACAACUCCUCUUUGUCUCCCGGUCCGGGGGUUACUUGGGAGAGCAGCGAAUAUUAAAAUCUGAGAAAUGAGAUUUUGAGAAAUCGAACUUUCGAAUCUUCAAUCCCUAAAUCACGGAGAAUCCUAUGUAUCUCGCCGGAGAUUCCGAUUAUUUACGAACAUCGCUCGUUUUUCUCUCGCCCAUUCGAUAAUUGAACGGCACGAUAUUUAACCAGGUAUCGAUUCGUAUUAUCGCGUUCCAUUGCGAAUUUUGCAAUUUCCCAAUCCGAUUUAUAUCGUCGAUUUUUCGGGCAAAUGUGGCCGAGGAAUCAAUUCGACUUGUAAAAAUAAAUUACACGACAGAAAAAAAUGAUCCUCGAUAUUAUCGGAGAGAGAAAGAGAGAGAAAGAGAGAGGGAGGGAGGGAGGAGGAAUGGAAACGUUCAAGGGCUGUUUAUAGAUAACAAAUUCUCGCGGUAUCCAAUUAUUUUGAUAUCCCCUCCCGGAGCAUAAAUCUCGCAAAACGCGAGAUAACGCAGUUAUCCACGAGCAUAAACGCGCGAAAUCGCGCGCGAGCCUCGUUUUUCAAGCUUCGUGAAUUUUUAUCGCGUUGCAUCCGGUGGCGUGUGCCAUAUUUCCUCGGCUACCCGAUAGAUUUUUCAGACCGCGCAAAAAUAUCGUGGACCGCGAUAAAAUACUCGUGGAAAAAAGGGAAGAGGUAAAAAAGAAGAAAGAAAAAAAAGAAAGAAAGAAAGAAAGAAAGAAAGAAAGAAGAGGAAGAGGAAAGAAGAAAAAAAAAGGAAAGAAUGACCAGUUGGUUUCGGA